GAAGCCGCGGCGGCGCCAGCGACCGCUCGCCCGCCCGGCUGCUCCUGCGACUCGCGGGAUUAGUCUUCUGUCCGGCUCGCGGCAGUGCACUUCACCGAAGGACGGCGAGAGCAUGGCGGCGACGGCAGAAGACGGGCCCCGGCGGGGUGUGCAGCUGGAGGCCGUGCUCGUCGCCGAUCGACAGCCCGACGGCGACGUGUCAGUAGCCAAUGGGAAACAAUCGGACACAUUAUUCUCAAAUGUUGUACAGAGGGCUCGUGAUGCCUUUAAUAGUGGAAAAACAAGAUCUGCAGAUUUUCGUGAAAAACAACUAAAGCAGCUCCUUAAAUUGUAUGAGGAGAAUGAGGAUGCUAUUGUUGCUGCAUUAUCUUCAGAUCUGAGGAAGAGUAAACAAGAGACUAUGCUGACUGAAGUAGAACUUAUGAAAAAUGAUGUUAUAAAUUUACUGAUUCAUUUUAGAGAUUGGAUGAAACCAGAGAAGCCUGAGAAAGGACUUGUUUAUCUGUUGGAUGAUGUUGUCAUUUAUAAUGAACCUUAUGGUGUUGUUCUGAUUUUGGGUGCUUGGAAUUACCCAUUUCAAUUGGCACUGUUGCCUGCUGCUGGUGCUAUAGCAGCAGGUAACUGUCUCGUAAUCAAACCAUCAGAAAUGUCUCCACACACUUCAAAGCUUGUAGCUGAAUUGGUUCCAAAAUAUCUUGAUCGGGACUGUUUCCAUGUUGUCGAGGGUGGCGUGCCUGAAACAAGUGAACUUUUGAAAGAACAUUUUGAUUACAUUUUUUACACUGGCUCAACACAUGUUGGUAAAAUUGUGGGAGCAGCAGCUAAUGAACACUUGACACCAACAACUUUAGAACUGGGAGGUAAAAGCCCAGUUUACUUGGAUUCUACAGCAAAUAUGGACAUUGCAGUAAAACGAAUUCUUUGGGGAAAGUGCAUUAAUGCAGGUCAAACAUGUGUAGGGCCUGAUUAUUUGUUGUGUACUAAGGAUCUAGAGAAGCGAUUUAUUGCAAUAGCUAAAGAGGUGCUUCGGGAAUGGUAUGGAGAUAAUCCAAAGAAUUCACCUGAUCUUGCUCGAAUUGUUACUGAUCGACACUUCCAGAGGUUACAAGCAUUCCUCAGUAAUGGAACUGUUGCUAUAGGAGGUGAAACUGAUCAGUCAGAAAGAUUUAUUAGUCCAACAAUCCUCACUGAUGUUAAACCAUCAGAACCUGUUAUGCAGGAAGAAAUUUUUGGACCAAUUCUUCCUAUAAUAAAUGUGGACAGUGCUUUUGAGGCUCUCAAAUUCAUAAAUAAUCGACCGAAGCCUUUGACACUUUAUAUUUUUUCAACUGACAAAACUGUACAAAAACUGUUUCUGGAGCAAUCAAGUAGUGGUUCAGUCUGCAUCAAUGACACAGUAUUGCAUUUGGCAGUUGAAGCACUUCCUUUUGGUGGAGUUGGAUCUAGUGGAAUGGGGGCAUAUCAUGGUGUCCAUACUUUCAACACUUUUACUCACAAGAAAAGUUGCUUGGGGAAAAACUUCAAUCCUUUAGUGGAAAAACUUAAUUCGAUGAGGUACCCACCUUACUCAGAGAAAAAAAUAAAUCUUAUAAGUUUUAUAAUGAAGAAACGCCGUGGGAUAAGUUUCAAAUAUAUAAUCCAUUUUAUAAUGUUUGUGUUGGGUGUUUUAACAACUGUUGCCAUCUGGGGAAUUGUGCAGUAAAAGUACAUUCUUGAAGCCUGCUGAAUGGCCCCAAAACAACAGCCCAUAACUGACGUGGCUGUGGAACAUUGCAUAGUACACAGUUAGAAGGCAAGCCAAGGAGGGAACUGAGAGAUUUUAAAUUCUAUUACCUCAGAAGGUGACAUACAGUAUCCAGGAAGAGUUCUCUUUCAUUUAAAUAGUAAUACUUAUUAGGUGCUGCAUUAAGAGUGGGAUUUAGUACAAUGGAUGUCAUAGCAACCUGCCAGUUUCUACAGAUGCGUUACAAGUGUCUCACUGGUACUUAAGGAAGAUCACUCUUCCUGGUGCAAUUUACCUGAUUUUAUUUACUGUCUCAAAGUAUAGUGAUACACAACAAUCAAAACUUUUUGAAGCUGUACUUCGCCAAAGAAGUACUUGAAUUAGAUCUGUAGAAAAUCUCUUUGAUAUUGGUAUUGUUCUGUAAUAAUAUUGAUUCCAAUUGUAUAUACAUUGUAAAUAUUUUAUAAUAUGUAAAUAAUAUACAAGUAAGUCAGUUACUGCUGUGUUGUGGAAAAAUGCUGGGUUUUGAUGUAAUAGUUGUAUAAGCAAACACCACCAGCAUUUAUUUAACCUGUUAAGUAAAAUGAAUACAGUAACUUAUCUAUAA
RNA transcript from Schistocerca cancellata (South American locust), 2330 nucleotides. It is a transcript of the gene named aldehyde dehydrogenase, dimeric NADP-preferring-like, with no coding region annotated. The transcript has 13 exons. Lineage: Eukaryota; Metazoa; Arthropoda; Insecta; Orthoptera; Acrididae. The record is from RefSeq and is a predicted model, not a curated record.